RNAcentral lists this long non-coding RNA (544 nucleotides) under Bos taurus (domestic cattle). RNAcentral describes it as "long non-coding RNA NONBTAT002736". The record is from RNAcentral. Lineage: Eukaryota; Metazoa; Chordata; Mammalia; Artiodactyla; Bovidae.
UGGUAAGCCCGUUUGCUGUUUCUUUUUUAUCUGCACAUCUUUUUGAGACCAACAUUCACAUCCCAAAAGGCAAUUGUAAUCAAAGGAAGACAAAAGGAAGGCAGUAUUUUAAGGAAUUCUGAUCAGAACCAAGUUCUUAACAGCCAUAUUCUCUUGCCUGAUGUAGAUACUUGUAGAGAGAUUUCAAAGCACUUCAUCUGCUUACCUGAUACAUUUGAUGAUAGUGUAAUAACCUAUGGUAUAAGCAAGCAUUGCUCUAUCUAAGGAAUCAAAUUACUGCGAACAUUAGGUCCUGUUUCUAAAUGUUUUCCUUUCUUUUGCAGGGUGAUAAAUGGGAGAGGGAGAGAGCUGACGUGCAUUUUUCAAAUGCAAGUCAAUCAUUAGCAGAGUCAUUUACAAAAGAACUUUGUAUUUCCUGUAAUCAUUAAAUUGAUUGACCAGUCAAGAAAAUAUGAUCCUUCUUUCUGUUUUGAGAUUUGCAAAUGGCAUCAUCAAAUUGAAUCCCAUUUUUUUUCCUUAAUAAAUGGAAUGUGGUUUUAAAACU